UACGGAAGGGCAGCAGUGGGGAAUAUUGCACAAUGGGCGAAAGCCUGAUGCAGCUAUGCCGCGUGUAUGAAGAAGGCCUUAGGGUUGUAAAGUACUUUCAUCGGGGAGGAAAAAACAAAACUAAUAAUUUUAUUUCUUGACGUUACCCGAAAAAGAAGCACCGGCUAACUCCGUGCCAGCAGCCGCGGUAAUACGGAGGGUGCUAGCGUUAAUCAGAAUUACUGGGCGUAAAGAGCACGUAGGUGGUUUUUUUAAGUCAGAUGUGAAAUCCCUGGGCUUAACCUAGGAACUGCAUUUUGAAACUGAAAUACUAGAGUAUCGUAGAGGGAGGUAGAAUUCUAGGUGUAGCGGUGAAAUGCGUAGAUAUCUGGAGGAAUACCUGUGGCGAAAGCGGCCUCCUAAACGAAUACUGACACUGAGGUGCGAAAGCGUGGGGAGCAAAACAGGGAUUUAGAUACC
Molecule: ribosomal RNA, 459 nt
Filed under: uncultured bacterium
Lineage: Bacteria
Description: bacterial SSU rRNA
Rfam family: Bacterial small subunit ribosomal RNA
Source: RNAcentral